This 253-nucleotide ribosomal RNA is filed under the name uncultured prokaryote. RNAcentral's name for it is "partial 16S ribosomal RNA". It matches the Rfam family "Bacterial small subunit ribosomal RNA", at positions 525 to 777 of the family's 1533-position model. The record is from RNAcentral.
ACGGAGGGUGCAAGCGUUAAUCGGAAUUACUGGGCGUAAAGCGCACGCAGGUGGCUGAGAAAGUCGAUUGUGAAAGCCCUGGGCUUAACCUGGGAAUUGCAGUCGAAACUACUCGGCUAGAGUAUGGGAGAGGGUAGUGGAAUUCCCGGUGUAGCGGUGAAAUGCGUAGAUAUCGUAAGGAAGACCAGUGGCGAAGGCGAGUCUCUGGACAGCAACUGACGCUGAGGCACGAAGGCCAGGGGAGCAAACGGGA